AAAGAAAAUGAUGCAGACAAAUAUAGUUGGCUCUAGUUGCUAUAACUCCAGUGCUUAAUCCUAAAUACAGUAGUGUUGUUUGGAUGAAAUGUUUUAUAAAGUUAAAUAAAGGUGAAAUAAAAAACUAAACAUGGAUAUGAUUAAUGUAAUUGAAUUAGUUGUACCACAUCCAACAAAUCUGACGGAAGAUAUUUCAUACAGAAAACAACAUUUAUUCAGACAUGCUUUAUAAAGCUACAUGUUAAACCGUGUCAAAAAUGUCUACGGGCGUAUAAACCUUAUCAGUCCAAUUAUUAGUAAGACCAUUUGUACAAUGAAAUAUAUUACAUAACAAUUUUACAAACCUCAACAUACAUUUGCAACUCAGCUACAGCUAUAAGCCAGUUUGAGGGGAUAAAUCUAUUGUUUUUCUACAAUGACGGACCAACCAACCACAAGGAGUGUGUGACAAGAUCAAUAACUUAAAUAUUAAGUAGUUCGUAAGAAAAUGUGUUAUGUGCAAUUUGAUAUUCAAAAUAACAAUAGAUGAAUUGACAUAGUAUCUACUGUUAGACCUAAUAGUACAACUUUAAACUUUAAAAAUAUAAAACAAAUCAUGUUUACAUAUUUUACUUCCUAAAGUCUUGGACAAGGCAUUAUCAUCCUUUUGUAAAGGACAAAUGUUAGGUAGGAACCACAUUUGAGUUCCCAUCAAAAUGAAUCAUAUCCUUCUGUUUCAAUUGGUCAAUACCCAAUACCCUCAAACCAAUGAAGCAGACCAAGGUUAAACCUAAUGCUAAGAUAAAAUAAGAAAAUACUUGACAAAGCAUUAAGAUUUCAUAGCCUUAAAAGCCCCUUUAAAACAAAAUGGAUGCCACUAACUGUCUAAUACCACGGUCCUUCAAUACCACUUAGCUUCUAAGUCUUAGUCUGUUUUAGCACAUAGCAACACCUUGGAGUGCAUUUCAGUGUGAUACAAAUUAUCUGGUCUCUGACUAAAGAGAGAUCUAAAGAAGAGAGGAGAUCAGUCAGGAAGUGGCUAGUUCCUGUGUGCCCUAUUUAUAAGCCAAGUGAACGGGCCUGCUUUCAAGAGCACAGGGUAGAUACAACACAACAUUACUGGGGCUAGGUGAGAGUAGAUACAACACAACAUUACUGGGGCUAGGUGAGAGUAGAUACAACACAACAUUACUGGGGCAAGGUGAGAGUAGAUACAACACAACAUUACUGGGGCUAGGUGAGAGUAGAUACAACACAACAUUACUGGGGCUAGGUGAGAGUAGAUACAACACAACAUUACUGGGGCUAGGUGAGAGUAGAUACAACACAACAUUACUGGGGCUAGGUGAGAGUAGAUACAACACAACAUUACUGGGGCAAGGUGAGAGUAGAUACAACACAACAUUACUGGGGCUAGGUGAGAGUAGAUACAACACAACAUUACUGGGGCUAGGUGAGAGUAGAUACAACACAACAUUACUGGGGCAAGGUGAGAGUAGAUACAACACAACAUUACUGGGGCUAGGUGAGAGUAGAUACAACACAACAUUACUGGGGCUAGGUGAGAGUAGAUACAACACAACAUUACUGGGGCUAGGUGAGAGUAGAUACAACACAACAUUACUGGAGCAAGGUGAGAGUAGAUACAACACAACAUUACUGGGGCUAGGUGAGAGUAGAUACAACACAACAUUACUGGGGCUAGGUGAGAGUAGAUACAACACAACAUUACUGGGGCUAGGUGAGAGUAGAUACAACACAACAUUACUGGGGCUAGGUGAGAGUAGAUACAACACAACAUUACUGGGGCAAGGUGAGAGUAGAUACAACACAACAUUACUGGGGCAAGGUGAGAGUAGAUACAACACAACAUUACUGGGGCUAGGUGAGAGUAGAUACAACACAACAUUACUGGGGCUAGGUGAGAGUAGAUACAACACAACAUUACUGGGGCUAGGUGAGAGUAGAUACAACACAACAUUACUGGGGCAAGGUGAGAGUAGAUACAACACAACAUUACUGGGGCUAGGUGAGAGUAGAUACAACACAACAUUACUGGGGCUAGGUGAGAGUAGAUACAACACAACAUUACUGGGGCAAGGUGAGAGUAGAUACAACACAACAUUACUGGGGCUAGGUGAGAGUAGAUACAACACAACAUUACUGGGGCUAGGUGAGAGUAGAUACAACACAACAUUACUGGGGCUAGGUGAGAGUAGAUACAACACAACAUUACUGGAGCAAGGUGAGAGUAGAUACAACACAACAUUACUGGGGCUAGGUGAGAGUAGAUACAACACAACAUUACUGGGGCUAGGUGAGAGUAGAUACAACACAACAUUACUGGGGCUAGGUGAGAGUAGAUACAACACAACAUUACUGGGGCUAGGUGAGAGUAGAUACAACACAACAUUACUGGGGCAAGGUGAGAGUAGAUACAACACAACAUUACUGGGGCAAGGUGAGAGUAGAUACAACACAACAUUACUGGGGCUAGGUGAGAGUAGGCAUCAUAGGUUCUGUACUCACUUUUACAGUAGCUCAGUAAUCAUACCGCCUACACUCUUAGAAAAAAGGGUUCCAAAAGGGUUCUUCGGCUGUCCCAUAGGAUAACUCUUUCUUGUUCCAGGUAGAACUCUUUGGGUUCUUCUGGGGAAAGGGUUCUACAUGGAACCCAGUAGGGUUCUACCUGGAAUCAAAAGGGUUCUUUCUGGAACCAAAAAGGGUUAUUCAAAGUGUUCUAUUGGGACAGCCGAAGAACCCUUUUACGUUCUAGAUUUUUUUCUAAGAGUGUAGUUCCUGUUUUUGCAAUGUGCAGUCUGAAACCUUUUGUGAAAUGUUAUAUAAACCUAGCCUGCAUAGGUAUUUGCCAAAACAGAGUUAAGGGCACAUUUGCUAUGCAUUUGGAUCUGGUGAAAAGUUUGCACCUGUUUUUAUUGGAUGAAACACCAAAGCUAAAACAGCAAACUGUCUUCAUUUAUACUUGAUAAAUGGUUCACUUUCAGAACCUUUAUUCUUACCUUUUCAUUUAACCUUUUAUGUCCAAUUCCCUAUGGUAAACUUACUGUGCAAUCUUGAUACCUGAUGCAAAGUGCAAAUGUUGAAUAAAUGGGGUCCUUAGCGGUCAGAAGAAGGGAGGCUUGUAAAAUAGGUGUGGUGUCAAAUUUGAUGUACAUCCUGCCAUUGAGAUUUGGACUGGCAGAGCUUGUCUCAGACAUUUUAUAAAAGCCCUGAAUAUUCUUUUAACACUUGGAAAGUAGUUAUUCAAGACAAAUAACUUCUCAAGAAAAUUAUAUUUUCAUGAACUACAUAAACACAACCCACCUCAUACACGAUUACUUCAACUACAUAAACACAACCCACCUCAUACACGAUUACUUCAACUACAUAAACACAACCCACCUCAUACACGAUUACUUCAACUACAUAACACAACCCAUCUCAUACACGAUUACUUCAACUACAUAAACACAACCCACCUCAUACACGAUUACUUCAACUACAUAAACACAACCCACCUCAUACACGAUUACUUCAACUACAUAACACAACCCACCUCAUACACGAUUACUUCAACUACAUAAACACAACCCACCUCAUACACGAUUACUUCAACUACAUAACACAACCCACCUCAUACACGAUUACUUCAACUACAUAAACACAACCCACCUCAUACACGAUUACUUCAACUACAUAACACAACCCACCUCAUACACGAUUACUUCAACUACAUAACCCAACCCACCUCAUACACGAUUACUUCAACUACAUAAACACAACCCACCUCAUACACGAUUACUUCAACUACAUAACACAACCCACCUCAUACACGAUUACUUCAACUACAUAAACACAACCCACCUCAUACACGAUUACUUCAACUACAUAAACACAACCCACCUCAUACACGAUUACUUCAACUACAUAAACACAACCCACCUCAUACACGAUUACUUCAACUACAUAAACACAACCCACCUCAUACACGAUUACUUCAACUACAUAACACAACCCACCUCAUACACGAUUACUUCAACUGCAUAAACACAACCCACCUCAUACACGAUUACUUCAACUACAUAAACACAACCCACCUCAUACACGAUUACUUCAACUACAUAAACACAACCCACCUCAUACACGAUUACUUCAACUACAUAACCCAACCCACCUCAUACACGAUUACUUCAACUACAUAACACAACCCACCUCAUACACGAUUACUUCAAAUGUCAUCAUGGUUUGAUUGGCAAGGAGGACUACAGAGGAAACCAAUCUGUAUCCAUUCAAAAUGUGGAUUACAAAAAGUUGCAGGCACUUCCGACAUCCCCUAAGACUUACUUACUUUUGUAACAUCCUUAAACGUAUCAUUAAAAAGUUUGAUCGGCGGUUGUAAGUAUUCAAGUAAAUAUCCUUGGGAAAGUGAUGAUGAUCAAUGUGGAAUGUAAAAAAAACAAAUUUAAGUACAAAAAGUACAAUCAACCUUCAUUUGCAUGAGAAAAGUGAAAGUGGAAAAAAUUGCACUUAGCUAAAUCUCAGCAGAACACUUGCAUAAAUAUGCUGCAUAAUCAGCCAGAAUAAGAAAACACCUGUCGUCCUUCCAAGCUACUACUUUCCAUCACCAUUAACCAAUACAUUUUCCCUACUUCUCCUUCAUAUUUAACAAUCACCAGCUGUUUCUCUUGGCAGUAUUCUCAGAAUGUUUUGAGUCUUUCAUACGCUUGGCCUGCCUGAGGAACUGGUCUGCUUUCCUCAGCUUCUCCAUGGCUCUGGCUAGCAGCUCCUCCGGCGACCUGUCCUCCAGGCCAUCGCCCCCCGCUAGGGCCGAGUUCUGCCCAACCUCGGUGCUCCCUUUAGGGACAACGCUCCCCAGGAGCUCCCCUGUAUUUUCCAGCUCCAUGGCCAGUUCAUUUUCAAGGUCUGUUAAGUCUUGAGGACCCACGGUGGCCUUUGUCCCGGCCACGUCUGUGAUUCGCUGUUUCACGUUUUCACCCAAUGAGGCCUCAGAGAGGAGAUCCCCCAAAGAGGUGGACAUGAGCUUGGCUAAGGGUUUGAAGGGGAUGGGGGGACAAUGGGAGGCCUGACUGACCCUCACCUGGAGGAAGGUGGAGUGUAGGCCAGAGGGAUUGUCCUGGGGGGUCUGGGUCGUAGAAGGGGAGUCCUCCACAGUGCUGAGUCCCAAGCUGUCGGGGGUCUCCGUGUCUCCGUCUUGACUCUCGUCCAUCAGCGCGUCCAGGCCAGCUUGGCUGCCCAUUAGGGCAGCGGUGGAGGCCGCCAAAGUGUCCCUGCUCUCUGACCAUUCUUCGUCGACAUCGAUGUCCGAGUGUUGGCCACUGUCGACUGACUUUUCCUCCUCACGCUCACUCUUCUUUUCCGGGGAGAGGUGGCAGGACACGGGGCUGGAGCAGGAGCUGUCUGGCUCAGGGUCACUCAGAGAGAGAACUACGACUGGGAACUCAGACUUAGUCUCAACGACCACAGGAACUUUCAGGGCCUCUGUUUCUUCAGUCGGACUGGUUGUGGUCAGCGCGGCUGGUGUUGGUGAAGUGAUAGAGUUGAGUUUCUCUCCUGGUGUGGUGGUGAUGUUCUUGGUUUUGUCUGUCGCUUGGUUCUUAGGUUCGCUUACGUGGACGUCUUGAGCCACCACCACUGCUUUGGGAGGAGGGAGGACGACGGGCUUCUUCUUUGUGGGAGGUCCGGGAGGGCCAGGGCUCUUUUUGAUUGGCUCCGGUGUCUGAACUGACGGCGUUACUGUGAGUUGGGAAGACUUCAUUGUCUGAGGUUCUUCAUUGGGUGAUAUAUCCACUCCACCACUAGGGGCAGACUCUUGUUCUUGAGCCAUGGGCUCGGCAACUUUCUGCGUCUCUUCUUCUAUGGUGGUGGUGGCGACCUCUGGGUGGUCAGUCACAGAGGGUUCAACUUUGACCUCUAGGGGGGUCAUGGGUGUUGUAAGCUGCGAGGAAGAAGACUCCUCCUCAUCCUCAGCCCCCUCAGGGAUACUGCUUUGUUGAACGUCAGAUGCAAUCGUUUCAGAACCCUCUUCCUCCUUCUCCUCUACCUCAUCCUCUUCACCUUUCUCCCUCCUCCCACUAGCCUCCUCUGUACCCUCCUGCACGGCUGUCUGAGUGGGCUUUUUGUCUUUGGAUGGUGGGGUGGGCGGCCUGUGUUCCUGGCUGGUUUGGGAGUCUCAGUGGUGUCUGUGGUGAUGUGGUGUGUCCCGUUGGGGAUGCUGGCGUCCACCGCGUCCAGGUCAUGCCGGAGAAUGCCGUCUG
RNAcentral lists this long non-coding RNA (6254 nucleotides) under Salmo salar (Atlantic salmon). RNAcentral describes it as "lncRNA (ENSSSAG00000114185.1)". Lineage: Eukaryota; Metazoa; Chordata; Actinopteri; Salmoniformes; Salmonidae. The record is from RNAcentral.